AAAAAAAUUAAUUAAUUAAGCUAAGAAGCUCUUUGUCAAAAAAAAAAAACUCUUUAACAGUUUAACCCAACUCACGAACCUCCUGAGUCAUACAGAGAACGAAAGUAGAAGAAAUCGUUGAUUGAUUGAUUGAUAAACAAGUCGAGAGAGAAACCACCAACGACUGUGCAGUUCCUUUCCGUCGCACUUGCAACCGCAAAGCGAACAGAUUGAUAGCUCCGAUCUCAACCAUGGCGAUGACCGUACACG
Molecule: long non-coding RNA, 249 nt
Filed under: Trifolium pratense (red clover)
Lineage: Eukaryota; Viridiplantae; Streptophyta; Magnoliopsida; Fabales; Fabaceae
Description: long non-coding RNA (TPRA_LNC012561)
Source: RNAcentral